Molecule: long non-coding RNA, 660 nt
Filed under: Monodelphis domestica (gray short-tailed opossum)
Lineage: Eukaryota; Metazoa; Chordata; Mammalia; Didelphimorphia; Didelphidae
Description: lncRNA (ENSMODG00000044295.1)
Source: RNAcentral
GGGGAGAAGCAAAUGCGGGAGUAGGCUCUGGUUGCUUCCGUGGCGCUUUCCCGGUAGAUUCCCUCUAAUGCAUGCGCCCUAAGUGGAGGAUAUGGGGAUUUAGGAAGUAAAUCUCCAAAACUCUGGCAGAUGGGGUGGAUAAACUGAGAACCUAAGCCCAAAUUUGCAGUUCUUCCUCUGGAUGUGGAUAAUGUUCUUUCUCAUAAGGCCCUCACAAUUGUCCUGGAUCACUGCAUUGCUCCUAGUAGAGAAGUCUAAUACAUUCAAUUGUGCCACAGUAUAUCCGUCACUUUAAUUGAACAGCAAUCCCCGACAGAUACUUCUAGACUUGGAGAUGAUUUUGUGAGUUUGAGAGGUUGGAGAACCUGAAUCCUUGGACAGAGCUGAGUGAUGGCAAAGGAAAUCACCACAUUAGAGAGGCAAAUAACCCACAGGGAAAGGAGUUCUACCCCCUGACCUGACUUUCCAGCAAACUUGGACUUUGAAGAAGACAGUAUGGAGCUAGGAUAAAAUUAUAUUAUGCUUAUUUAGCAGUCAUGCAAAUGGUUUUAUGUUCCAGUGUCUAAGCCUCAACCUUCUUAUGUUAACUUUAGUUGUAAUUAAACUGAAUGUUUAAGGCAUGUUAAUGUACAUUUGUGAGAGCUUUUGUGUUAAGCCUUU